AAGGUCUUGCUAGUUUUUUGAAGCCACACAGUGCAUCCAACCUCUAUGGAUCGUCCACAAAAAGUUCUUGGACUGAUCAACCUUUUUAGGGAAUGUUGGUUUGCGAAGAAGACUUCUGAUGGCGGAUCUGAUUGGAUCUCCUUCUUCAAACUUCUUAGACUCUUCCAAAGUUGAAGAUAAAUCAGAAGAGGUUGCUGUAUGAUAGAAGAAAAUUAGAGAAAUCUUUUUCUCUCAUCAAAAUACUCCCUCCCAGAAAAUAGAAUGGCUAGG
Molecule: long non-coding RNA, 270 nt
Filed under: Elaeis guineensis (African oil palm)
Lineage: Eukaryota; Viridiplantae; Streptophyta; Magnoliopsida; Arecales; Arecaceae
Description: long non-coding RNA (EGUI_LNC060738)
Source: RNAcentral